Molecule: ribosomal RNA, 161 nt
Filed under: uncultured bacterium
Lineage: Bacteria
Description: partial 16S ribosomal RNA
Source: RNAcentral
GCACGUAGUUAGCCGGUGCUUAUUCUUCAGGUACUGUCAUCCUCCCGAGGUAUUAACCCAGAAGAUUUCUUCCCUGACAAAAGCAGUUUACAACCCGAAGGCCUUCUUCCUGCACGCGGCAUUGCUGGAUCAGGCUUGCGCCCAUUGUCCAAAAUUCCCCA